Molecule: long non-coding RNA, 260 nt
Organism: Lytechinus variegatus (green sea urchin)
Lineage: Eukaryota; Metazoa; Echinodermata; Echinoidea; Temnopleuroida; Toxopneustidae
Exons: 2
Source: RefSeq, a predicted model, not a curated record
CAUCGAUUCAGGUUGCAUGGCAUUAAGUAGCAUUUCCCAUCCGUGGCUUGACGAGAUCCUGUAUCACGCCGGGAUAAUUGCGUUAUGAUAGUUCAUCGCUCAGAGAUACAAAUUGAGAGUCUGAUCAUCGGGGGUAUAUCCCAGCGCUCUUCUUUGUCGUGACUUUCAAAACCUGUUCGGACUGUGAGUGGGAGACAUAAACCUGAAUUGUCAUUGAGAAAAAUUGGAAAGCUUCAAACAGACUUGAACCAACCGGCAUU